Ictidomys tridecemlineatus (thirteen-lined ground squirrel) is the source of this 1236-nucleotide long non-coding RNA. RefSeq lists it as uncharacterized. NCBI's taxonomy places the organism in Eukaryota, Metazoa, Chordata, Mammalia, Rodentia, Sciuridae. The record is from RefSeq and is a predicted model, not a curated record.
CACUGACCUGGGAGACUGAGGCAGGAAGAUCACAAAUUCAAAACCAGGUUCAGCAACUUAGUGAGGCCCUAAACAACUAGGGAGACCCUACCUCAAAAUAAAAAUAAAUAGGGCUGGGGAGGUAUCUCAAUGCUUAAGUGUCCCUGGACUCAAUUCUUGGUACCAAAAAAAUAGAUAAAUAAUUUUUUUUUUUUUUAAAAAGGGAGAUCAAUCUGAAAGCUUGUGAGUCUUCCACCAGGUUAGCCCAAAUCAGAAUGUCUGAGGGCAAAUCUUAUUCCUCUUUUAUCCUUUUGUGUUCUUAGGCAGAGUUAUAUAACCUGGGAGAGGCAAACAACUUCCUAUCCUUUUAUUUGCUGGAUGUUUUUCUUUUCUUUUUUUUAUGAGGGGGAGGGGGAUAUCAGGGAUUGAACACAUAGGGACUUUAUCAGGAAGCCACAUCUGCAGCCAUUUUUUUGUGUAUUAUUUAGAGACAGGGUCUUGCUGAAUUGCUUAGGGACUCACUAAGUUGCUAAGCUGGCUCUGAACUUCCGAUCCUCCUGCCCUAGCCUCCCAAGCUGCUGGGAUUACAGCUUCCUUGUGAUCAACCCUGAAGAGAUUUAUUCGACCAUCCUCUCCAACUGUGACAAUUUCUGGGUUGUCACACACAAUGCCUGUACAUGGGGCACUGCUAUAAGAAGGACUGCCAGGCCCCGUGUGGUAGUGGGCUGCUGUCCACUGCUGGUUGACUGACAGAGUCUAAGUAUUAGAAAUGAGGAUACUUUUUAAUCAAAGAGCAAGCAUUUUUCCUUAAGAGUAUUUUAAAAUUCUAUCUUGACUUUUCUAGAAAAAGAAUAACUCUUUUUUUCAUUUGUACUUUAGAUUAGUAAUGUUUAAAAACUACUAGAAGCUCCGUACACAAUGAAUUAGACUCACAAAAAAUGUUGUCCAAUAAUGUGACAUAUUCAUCUUAAAGCAAAGUAAUCAUUUUUAGAUAUCAAGCAGUUCAAUGUUCAAAAGCAGCUAUUUAAAUUCUUCUUUUUUCCCCUUGGUAUUGAGUACUAAACUCAGGAUCUUAUACAGGGUAGAUAAGCACUUUGAGUCAGGGUCUUACUAAGUUGCCCACUAAGUUACAUCCUGAGAUCUUUUUGUUUUUUACUUUGAGACAGGGUCUUGCUAAGUUUCCUGAGUAGCUGUGAUUAUAGGCAUAUAACAUUGUGCCCUGUUUACUCAUUAAAUUCUUUUGGGAAUGAUCUUCUA